Molecule: long non-coding RNA, 15409 nt
Organism: Gallus gallus (chicken)
Lineage: Eukaryota; Metazoa; Chordata; Aves; Galliformes; Phasianidae
Source: Ensembl
GUGUGAGAUUUUAUUCAAGUCAAAGUAAUUCUGAAUGAUUUAAAAUUACGGACCACUUCAAGUUUUUUAUUUGACUAAAACCUCGUGGAAAUUUCAUUUGAAGAAUUCAUAUCAAACCUAAAAUAUGCUCAGAAUCAAAGUUAAAACUUUUGAUUUUGAAAAAAUGACUGUAAUAAAAAAAUAUUUCUUCAAUUAAUUUUCAUAUCAGCAGAUAUAUGACUGUCAAUGUGUUAGCCCAUAUUGGAAUUGACUCUUCACUUCUGAUGUAGAAGAAAAACUGACAACAUCAAAGAACAUCUGAAUGCAUGUAUAUUCUUGGAAACCUGUUUUACCACAAACAUUUGAACCUGAAAUGCCAGAUUCAUAACCCAACAAACUGAUUUGGUGAAUCCCUUAAACUGCAGCAGCAAUGAUGGCUCCUCCUUGGCAGAAACAUGCUGAGAGGCAGUUGGGAAUCCCCUGCUCUGGAGCUGCAGCCUGAGGAACCUCAGCGUGUAAGAAGCGUCUCUGAGGCACUCACAUGGUGAUGGUUAUACAUCUCCUGCUUACCCCAACUUAGUGAAAGCUGUCUUCAAGCAAAUAAGACUGGCAGCAAGGCUGGGAGUGCAAUCACCUGCUGGCAUAAUCCCUGGACUCUUCUUAAAGGAAUUCUAAAAAGGGAAACUCAGGAAUGCCUACCUGACUGUCCAGAGAACUGCCAUCCAGAGGAGCAUCCUACAGCAGCACAAGCAUUUCAUCUUCUGGAUUUGUGGAGACAUGUGGGAUUUGUUGAUGCUGAAGGCAGGAGGAAGUCAAGGGAGAAAAAAAGAAUUCUGGGAGAUUUUAAAAACAAAAAUGAUUCUCACUAGGAAACUUGGUAAAACCGAAGAUCCAAAGUGAAACAUCAGGAAACAUCACCAAAAUGAAGCCCGUUGGAUGUUUGCAGCUGUUUCUUUAGUCCUGAUUAACAGGGAUUUUCUGAGAAGAGCUGCACAAGUGCAGUCCCCAUUCAGCGUACAGAUUUUCCAGAGUGAUCUCCAAGUUGUAAUGGACAACCUCUUUCCUGCCAGCAGAGCCCAGAGAGGAAUAAACCAAGACCACCAGCUAAGUCAUUGUGUAAUGUGCUGUGGAUAUGAGCAUCGAAUGCCCUCAGUGGCAAUGACUCAGGACCAAAUCAUCCUUUUGCGGGAAUUACCUACGAAGGAAACUGGACGCUCCAUGGCAUCUGUGUCAUCCUUCCCUCCAGAUGGUGCCUCCAAAUCUGUUCUGAAAUGGCAUGUGCAAAGCAAAUCCAGAGUGCCUAUCAUUCAGCCCUCUGAUGGCAACUCUCAGACAACUCGGGGACAGACAGAACACAAAACCAGAAAUAAGGACUUGCAACCGUGGCUGAAGAUGCCCAGAGAGUCGUGUAUGUAACAGCCAGCGAGAGGCAGAUGACAGCAACAAGAAAUUUCACAGCUCCAAAGAGUGAACGUACCACGGAUUAGUACCGGAGACAGAAAUACUUCUAUGAAAACCAUGAAGGAAGUUCCGGAAUCUAGAGUAACUCUCGGAUGCACAGAACUGGAGACUUAAAAGAUCCUCAGUUCCCCCAGGACCUGAGCAUGUAGAAACGUGGGGGCCUGGCUGUCCUUCUGGUCUGCACGCGUGGCCUCAAGCCCGAAUCCCUACAACAGCAUCUCCACUGGCAGCAAAGCGCUUCUUUGCCCUUUACCACUGAACUGCUGUGGCUUGAUUGUGUGAAACUGAGUUUCAGGAUGCAAGAUACUGUUCAGAUAGUUCUGCAAUACAUUCUUCAGACCCAGCAGCUUUGGCAGGCCCGUGGAUGAUGGAAUAACCAGAUCUCUGCGGCCACCCCUGAAAAACAGAUUCUUUCUUCUGGAUUCCCUGGGAUUCUCUCAGCAGCCAGCCUUGUUUACAGAAGUCAGCGCGGACAGUAACAGCCCUUCACCAAUGAGCCACAGUGGACCCUUUGGGGAAGGCUCCUCACGGUGCUCUGUCAUCUGCUGACAAAGUGGUGCCAGGACCAGAACUUCACAAUGAACUCUGCGGAGAAAAAUCCACAGCAGAUGAAGGAAUCUCGAAGGUAUGGACCUGCAGUAAAACUGCUGUAAGAAAUGAUUUAGUUUAUCUUUAUUCACCUCUGUAAAGGCUGAAGGCUGAGCCUUGUGGCAGGCUGUGAUAUCACCUUCUUAGUCGAGUUAUUUGUUACUGUUUUUUAUGUUUUCUGGUAUUCAAAAAAAAAAAAAGAAAAGAAAAGAAAAAGCUAUAGCUAGGAGUUAUUGGCAGUUCAAACCGACUAACACCAUGUUUGGAAAUGACCUGGAGUGCAGGUAUUUGCUACAGGAGAGCACCUGGAGCAGCUGAUGGGCGCUUAGGUACCGUAGUGCUGCUUUCCUGCCUACGGCCAAGGGACCGGGCGUGCGCAGCAGUGUGCUCUGCACGACCAGAUAGGAAUAGCAGCAAUAUCCAGCACCAAUUCCUUCCCUCUCACUCCUGGUCUGUUUCCAUACGUGGCAGUCAUGCAAUGUGAUUUCAACACGAACCGGGCUCCUGAUGUGAAAGCGUUCUCAGCUUUCAAGUUUAGGUUUAAAAAAACAACACGGAACGGAUGAAGUGAAAUGUUUCCUUUGGACGGCGCUCUGACAAAGGGGAGGAAACCCCUCACUGUGGGAUGGCAGCCGCGGGUCAGGGGCGGGUAAGCAGCGGUUACCGCCAUCCAGAGGAGAGCAGCCAUCAGCCGUCAGAUUGCAUUUUGUUUUGUGAGUGGAAAGGAGAACCCAACCGGUUGGUCUGGUUCGUGCUGAGGCAUCCCAGAGCAGAAAAACAACUCAGUGACAGGUAGACUCAGGCUUAAAGUGAGAGGAUCCCCCACGUCACUGGUUUCAACUAGAGGAUACGUCUGUGCUAUGAGAAUACUCAGUAUGAGAAACGUGCUGCGAAACAGAGGCAGCCAGUUGGAGCAGUGCUUCAGACUAAGCUGAGGUCAGUUUUAGAAUCACAGAACACUUCAGGCUGGACAGGAACUCUUGAUGUCACCUCAAUCCACGCCCUGCUCAAAGAAGGUCUCACUACGUCAGAUCGCUCAAGGCUGCAGCCAGUCAAGUUGAACCCUCAAAUGGGGAGCCUCUGCUGAAUGCUGGUUACUGCAAGGUUCAGGCACCCAAGUAUGUGCUUAUGUGAGUGGGAGUACAACGUACCUACGCCUACCUACGUGUGCUUACCUACAGACAUUUUUAUUUUCAAUGUUCUGAUUCCAGCGGCCUUUUCAAGAGACAAAAGAAAGUUAAAAAUAAAAUUAGAGCCUAAAAACAAUGGAUUUGCAGUAGCCAGCACAAUGCCAGUCUGCACUGUUGCGAAAGACCUGUGCAUAAACAUUCAUAGGGAUGAAUUCAGAGGUGAUGGGCGACACAGACUGAGGAAAAGGAGCCCAGAGAGUAGGUAAUAAUAAAGAAAAUCAUGAAAAGAGGAAACAGAGAAGGAAAAGCAGCUAAGUGAAAGGUAUGUAACACCUAAUCUAAAGCACAUUUCUCUCUCCUUCAGCGCACACAAAACUUUUACCGGUUCCUUUUUAUGGUUAUUGAAUGCCUACAUUACCUGAAAGUGGAAUUUAUUGAGCUGAGUGUUAAACUCUAAGUUUUACAAAUAAGCUUCCGUACAAAAAUAUUUAUUAUCUGUAACGUACAUCAUCAGCUCUUACACUCCCACUGCGUUCAUCCAUUGUCUCCCAAUACAGUUACCGUGAACGUAUGUCAGAAUAUACGUCAGCCUCAGAAAUACACACUUGUACUGCAGUGACUAUUUUCUAUUCCUUAUUUCUUUGCCUCUAUUUUAAACAACGGAUGUGUACGUUUGCUUAGAACCUAGCUUCUGAAACAGAAGGACAAAAUUACUGGUUCUGACAGCUGUGAAAACAUUUCCAUAAUACAGAAAAUCUAAAUGCCUCUUCAUUCAAUCACUUUCUCAAUGAAAACAUCCCAGGAUUAAAGAAAUCCAGGGAAAGAGAAAAGAUUAACCUAGAAAAGGCAAAUAAGCAAGUGAAUAAAGCUGGGUUUAUUGCUUCCUGCUUCAACAAUGUCCAACAAGAUCUGGGCCAUGGUGCCACAGCUUUCACACGCGUGUGCAGUGGACACAGCUCCCCUGCAUGCAAACAAUGCACCAGCUUGCGUGAAGUGAAUUGGGGCCAGCACAAUUGUUUGAAGGAGGAGGGAUGCACAGUCACUGGAAGCACAGAAGCGCCUUUUCUCUCUGGUUUCAUGCAGCUGACAUACCGAGCAGAGGAGCCAGAGAGAACAUGUAAUGGAAAUAAAUGACUUUGCAGACCCAACGGAAGGAGGUGGGAGCGAAAAAGCAUCCUCACCCCCUGCCCGGCGGCUGCGUAAAUCUGUCCCUGCCAGGAGAGCUCCGGGAGGUGCUCAGCGGCCGCCUCCCCAGGAGUCAGUGAGAGUUCAGGUGCUUACUGUGUCAUCAGGCUUGACCUUCACAUGCGACACUGCCAGGACGUUUGUUUUCCCACAGCAGUGAUUGCUUCAGUCAAUUAUUAUUGCCCAUCGUAGAGUGCAAACACAUAAGGGCUUGAUUUACAGUGCAAAAAUAUACAUCCUGAAUUUACUUCCUCUUUUGUUUUUGGACUGUCAUAGCAUCUCCACCUUAAAGAGAUGACAGCAAAUUACUUCAUAGGUAAAUAUAUGUAUGUAUAGGGAAGGAUAAAUAGCAGUCAUUCGGGUCAUUGUGAGAUGAACGUUCAGUAUAGCUUCAGAUCGGCUGUGUCAGACGUGACAAUAUAUUUUAAGCUUUUUGUUUUAAAAUUUUCAUUUUUUCUGCUUUUCUUUGAAGAAAUCAUCAUUCGCAAAUUUUGCAAGUUGGCAAUCUAACCUCUAAAUCCAUUCUAACGCAGAUUUAAGAUUGUGCAUUCAGUUCCUUAAGCAAUGUUUAGGUAUUACCAAUAUACUGAAAGAUAGAUGAGACAGCCUCAUGGUAAUACAGCUUUUAACCUUUCCUCUCCUCUACCAUGACGGGGGAGAAUUACAGUAAAUGAUGGUUACCUUGUCUGCAGUAUGGACAAUUGAUUUGACCUCACUGCAUCUGAUGCUCUAAUGGACUUUGUGGCUGAAUCCCUGGAGAUAUAAAAUAUGUCCAAGUGAAUUGGGGCAGGUUAAAGAACGGACCUGCUUUUCAUGGCUGGCUCAAGCUAUAAUAGAUCUCCCGGUUGUUCUGAGAAGAAGAUUAAAAAUGAUCAAUAUCCAAAUCAUUAAAAAAAAAAAGCGGUGGCUUCUGUAAAUCUACCAUAGGUGGGUUUUUUUUCCUGCUAAACGCCGGAGGAGGGUGUCUGGGUUGAUAACGUGAGUUUCCAUAACAAAUGUUUACUUCUGUUUACUCUCUAGUAACAUGUUCCUUUUUAUAUUAAGACUCAGACACACAGAUGGCGUGAUUCAGCACUGCUUUCCUGAAGUCAUGCUUGUUUACACCAUGAAGAGUCAGGCCUUAGGUUUAUUUAAUAUAGAUAAAAUAACAAUACUAUAAUAUUUCCUGAAGCAGAAAAUAAAAUCAAGGACAGAUUUCAGAGAAUGAUGGCAACUGCGAUAACUGUGAACAUCCUCACAGUUCUGCUAGCCACAGUGUCUAAGACAAAAAUAAAGGUUUAAUUUAGUGAGGAAAAAAGAAAAAAAAGAUUUUCCUUGGCUGCUCUGAGUCCUUCAUUUGGCAAAGUGCAAUUGAACAUCUUGUUUAUCCUUUCCCACCCUCUCACGAACAUCUCUGCUCUUUUCUCACCAGCACACAACUGAGCUCAAGGUGAGUGUAAGUCUGUCCAGCCCCUGGAGGUGCCAGGAGAAAAGCUUUCACAGCCCACAGCUGGGAGCUCACCCACAGACCUUCCUCUCUACAUACAGCAGCAAUGGGGCAGGCAACUUCAGUGGGCUUAUACGUAUGCACAUGCUUAGCUUCCUGUAAAACCCAUGCAUUAAGGAGACAGAUGCACAGCUGUUCCAUCUGAGGCAUGCAUGUAUUGGUUUCUGCACUUAUUCAGUAAACUUGAAAUGCAGAGGAGCCCAAAUCUCUGUUCUGAACAGUUUGAGGUUGUUUGGAUCUGACAUCUCUGUGCGUUCACUGACAGAAAUAAGCUAAUUAUGAACCUGAGUUGGAAGAGGGAUGCCCUUUUUCUGAGUUUUGAGAAGUGUCUGGGCAGAGUAAUUGGACUGCCCUAUCUCAACUGCGUUACAGCAAUCGAGCAAAUGCGAAAAGUCUUCCUUAGAAAGGAAGAAAUAUGUGUUUUUAAGUGCUAGGACAAUUCCACGUAACAUCACGGUUUGCAUCUAUACCCACAGUACGCAGAGAUUCAUGCAGAUGUCCAACAAAUUGAAAAGGCUUCAAAUAUAUUUUAUCUAGUUGUAUGUUUAACAGUAUUUACCUUUUGCCUUUCACAGGUUGCUUUAAAAUCUGACUAUGUAAUAACAUCCUCUGAAUGAUUUAAUUUAAGCUAACGUGCUAUCCCUUUAUGUAAAAAGUAAAGGUAUUUUGAAAGCCCUUGCUGAAUACUCUGAGGUUGCCUCUACUGUGUGGCUAGCACUGGGCUGAAUGCCUAGCAUCCGUGCGUAGAAGAGGGAACAACUGCUGCCCCUCCGAUCUGGCUAUUCUUGUAUCUGGAAACAUUGUCAGGUGCUACAAGCAUCACGCCAUCUGAAAGGCCAAAGUUGAGUACUACGUUAUUGGAGUAGAUGACACCUUAUUCUUAUUCUUCAACAAUUCUAACAACUUAGAGUCCCUCACUGUCCCUUUAUGAACACAGAUGUCAUUCUGAGGGGGGGGACAGCCAAAAUGACAAGAAGGUGACCUGUCGGUGAACUCAGGAGCAGGUGAGGCCUGUCAGCUUCUAAUUUGAAACUGGUGUCAGUCCUGAGGAAUGGCUGGUAUAAUCACAUUUGUAACUGAUAUCCUAUAAACGCUGCAAACAUUCACAGUGCGCCUGUUAUGAGUAAUAUGAAAUUAACAAUUCGUGUUUAUGACACAAGACACCGACCGAAUCAAGCAGGUCUCCGUAACUGGAUCAGCUCCGUCUGUCUGCCAGAGCAGCGCAUCGAACUGCUUCAACCAAAGCCAAAUUACUGUGUGCUUAUGUUACAAUAGGCAUUGUAUUUAUUUUGAAGACAAACUUUUGUAACUAGGCGUAAAGUGAGGACCUCAGAACCAGCUUCUCGCUCAAGUUAUUGCAUAUAAAACUUCUCUUGCUCGAGCCCAGCCAUUAAGAUGUUCGUGACUUUUAAGUUAAGAGUUUGGGACCUAACAAAUCACGUGUUGUAUCUCACAUUUUCUGAAUAACUGAAGGGAAGGCUCUGUGUAAAUCUUCUCUCUCAGACACAUAAAUUACCAGCUGCGUGAAUACUGCCAUUAAGACAAGCAGACAAGUGCGAGGGGUGGGGACAGGGCAGGAUGCCCCAAAGAGGUGGAGUUACAGAGAAAACAAGGCAUUUGCUUACUGAGUAAUUUAUGCUUCAUCUGCCUUCACUGUAGCUCGGUAAGAAUGAACACCAUGAGGCAGUCUGUCAGGCGCUCUCACUUCACUACCGCCAAGGCAUUUUUCUGCAAAUUAGGUAUUUGCUUCCUAUUUCUAGUCACUUCCACCUGGAUUUUUUAUUAGGAAAAGUCAAAAUCAUAGUAUCUGAAGCUAAGAUUUGAAUUGAAGUUACACUAAAAGAUAAACUGUUGCUCAAGUAUAUUUCACAUUUGAAGACAGCAAAAUCUCACAAUCCUUUGCACAAUUAUUUCCAGUCCAAACUGACAGAAGCUCUAAAGUUCGGGUCCUUUCCUGCCUGCACUGCUGCUGAGCCUGGUGCAUAGAUUAGAAGUUCCUUUCCAAUAACAAGCAAAAUAAAAGAAGAACCAUACGAAGAAUCUAUUGCAAUUGUUACACUGGAAUUUAGUUAGCAGAGCUACAAAAACGCAAGUCCAAAUCCCAAGUAGCUAGUGGAGAUUUCUGAACGGUUCUGUACACCUUCACGUAGACAAUCCAGUGGAGCUAACAACCUACUGUAGCACUCUUUUGUGAUAGGCAAAUACCAUUCAUUUCCAUUUUCCACAGAAGAACUGCACUCCACAGAGCUUCAGCAAUGUAAACAAGGCCAGGUACAGCAUUACAGCUGUGGUUCAGGCAACAACAUUCCUUGUCCUCUGACACAACACUUACACAUCAUACUUGUAACACUACCUAGUUCAAGUUGGUGGUCAAUACCACCUAAUUAGCAGAGUAAAAGUGCAAUUUUGAAACCAACUUACAAAACUGCUACAACCAACCUACAAAACUCCAUCAUACCAAAGAAAAAUUAUGGCUCUAAAUUUCACAAUCACUCUCUGCCAACCAAAAACUCACCUUUAAGAAGAGUCAGGGCUGAAAGCUGAAAGUUGAGGCAGUCAUCUCUCAACGUGUAGAACUCCUCACGUUGCUACGAAGGUACAGCACGGUUGUUCAGUGUUUGGAUAAAGUACUGCAUGGGAACUGUUGAAUCACAGCCUGAACCACCAAUUGAUCACCUGAGGCAAGGACUGAAUCAGCUGUGGGAGCACAGGUGAAAGCAAUUCAGCUAUGUGACCAGAAGCUGUGUGACCACAUUCCACCCCUCCCAGACCCCAUUUAAGGGCUGACUAACACUGGGGAAGAAUCUCCUUGUGGUGAUCCCUCCUUUGUGGAGCUUUUCAGUGUGAGCCUAAAUCUUUGCAUACAGAGUUAAUGGAGACGCUCCAAACAGAGGAUUAAGUGGAAAGCAGAGUUUUGCAGCAACCUGAGAUAUUAAAAGGAAAACCAACUGACAGAGCAGAAAAAAGACAGCCAACUUACGGCAACGCGGCAGUAUUUUCCACCAAAAAGUCGCCGUUAAAUCCCCCGCAAUUACUCACAGGAGUCCAUCCCUGGCUUCCUCAUACUUUCAUUUGAAUGGGAUUUGGAUUCUGCCUGUCAUUGUGAAGUAGACUGGAAAAGAGUACUGUCAACACAGAUGAAGACUCAGUGUGAAUAAAAUUAAAAUAAUUAAGUUCUGUUCAACAUCAGUUUGGCCCUGCUUGAGUUGCCAGGACUCCGUACACAAUUUGGGAUGGGGGUUGGGUUUUUUUUUUCGUUGACUGUGGUUUCCUUGGUUGGAAUGCUAUGUCUAAGACCACCAUCCAGGAGAAUGAAGGUCUUCCACCCAAGGGCAACAUCUGUUAUCUACACAUUUGGAUAUUGUGUCCAAAACAGGAGAUAUCAGCUUUGGAGGAACGCGAUUUCAGAGUAUGAAGCAGUUCCAAAGACCACUUGGACUUGAUCUCCAAAUGCCUGAGAUAGAUACAAGCCUUGAAAGUGACCCUCGACACCCUGGGAUCUUCUGUGUAAAAGGCUGAAGCACCCAGGGGGUGUAUCCUUGACUGUGCUGCUGAGUCAAUUAAUUACAGUGCUCGAAAUAAAAUGAAGCUUUGGUUAAGGUAGGAAAAGAGAAAAUAGUACUAAGGUUAACAGUUUGUGAACGUAUAUGUUAAAUAUAUGCAUGUCCCUAUACAGCAGGAAAAGAAAAGGAGUUGGAGGAGAGCAAUUCUAUAUCCUAGUGCCUGUUAUCUGGGCAGAGCAAGGAACUGAGGAGACAUACCCAGGAGCAGCCCACGGCUCUGCAGCGUUGCUCACGCUGAUACCCUACUGCAGCCCAGCAGGGUGCCAAGGAGCUGCUGUGGGAACUGGCUGGAGCAACAACAGAGCCCAGCCAGCUCCCUCCCAUUGACAGCAAGCUCAGCAAAGCAUUGAAGCUGGCUGAACUUACACCUUGGGGUGGUUCAGUGUCACCUGCUCAGAAACAAGGAGCAGCUUUGCUAGACCGUCCCAGCAGCACAGAAGUGCCAUCUGGACCUGGGAGAAGUGUGAAUCUUGUCUCAACUACAGAUGAUCCUAGCACUGUGCAAGCAAACACCCUUAAGGAAAGAGUGCAAUAUGAAUUUGGGUGUAACCAAGCUAUGGUGAGGUCCCCUCCAAAGGAGCAAGAUUAAAUAUGGCUGUAUGAGCCAGCACUAAUCUACUGAGAAGUGGGCAUGCUGGACCAUAGGCAGCCAGCAGUUCGCAGCACAUUGGGGUGCUCCCAUGGCCUGCAGAGAAGAGGGCUACAUGAGACAAGUGUCCCCCUCCAGAGCUUCAAAUGGACCUGAAGCUCCAUGCUUCUCCCCGUGGGAACAAGCUCAAUUUUGUGCUUUGGUCUAAAGAGAGAUCAAGAAGCACUACCAGAACCAGAGCCAGAAAGGAAUGGGUAAUGGGGUGAGUAAGAAGCCUACCAAACCUGUUCAGACUGCUCCUGGGAAGAACAACAGUGACAGCAGAUGGCAGUGCCCAGGAAAUGACUGGGGCUGGUGGGCAGCACUAUUCAGCACUUCCAGCACUAAUUUGAUAGCUGGUGGGCAGUGGUGAAGGGAAAGCAAUGGGGUCAGGUGGGAUGAGGCCACUCUGGAUAGACACUGUUCCUAUCUCUCAGACCUAAAUGCCCCUCCUUACAGGGGCAGGUGCUCAACAAUUCGCUCCAGCUCCAGUGCAGAGCAGAGGGAGCUGUUCUGAAAAUGUAAAACAAAGAAGAAAAAUAACGUUUGGCUAGAAGAAGGACUUUGCAAAAUUUCAUAAGCACAUCAUGGGGAUUUAUUUAAAUACUCUUUCAAAACUUGCAUAACAAGGAAGUAGAUGCAGAUAAUUCUUAUGCGUCUCACCAACACUACAAACAAGACCCAUUUUUCAAUGACAGUAUUGAAAAUGUUUCCUCCCUUGAGUUACACGUAGUCAAGAUUGUCACAUGGGGAUUUUUAAAAAAAUCCCUUAAGCUGGGAAUAUUUAAGAUAACUUUCAGAAGAUCUCUGUCUACAUUUCACUGUUUUAAGUCUCCUUUCAUAAUUAUGUUUAAUGUAACCUCUGCAAAACAAAUAAAAUCACUCAUUUCCAACAGACAUUCACCCACUGCAAUGAGCUCAAAGAAAGACAGACAAUAGCAGAGGAUAAGCGGCUGAGAGUGGACAGCCACGUCCUCCAGCCAAGCAAACCCCAGAAAGUAAGACAGUGUUUUUCAUCGGUCCUUUACAGUUCAGCAUUUAGAGCUGUCACAUUUCUCACCUCACAGAAAGUCCCACUGAAGGACAUCUAGCAGAGCUCUCUCCCUCUCACUAGCAGCCCUCUGCUAUGCACACGAGCCACAGCUUAAUGCAGAUACAUACAUUUUUACCAGCUCUUCCUUAAAGUAUCUGCUUUUUACUGGCUCAGCUUUUUUUGACGCUGUUAUACCUUUGAAAUGAAACUCGAGAGUCCACCUUUCAUUCAAAUAGGGAUGUAAAUUCCCUAGGAAACUGGUUCAUAUUCUUUAGGAAUGUCUGCAUUUUCACAAGAGUCAAAGAACCCAAAUGUCUACAUUAUAGGUCUAAGUUAUGUGCAAUUUAACAAGGGUUAGAGUAACAACAGAAACAAUUCAGAAAAGUAUACGUUUGUAAUUUAAUUAUUCAAUUAUUCCCUUCUAAAGUUCUUAAUAAAUAUUUAAAUAUUGCACACAGCAAGAUAAGUGAAACAUCAACAUUGCAACAUGGCACCGAUUCAGGAUGCACCAUUGGAUAUUGGACUCAUCAGGCCUUUAGGACACAAGCUAGUCAGUGAACAUCAAGUAUAUUUUUUGAUGAACUAUUUGCAAAUUAGAUGUAUUACAAAUGUUUGCUCAUUUAAUUAGAAUAUAAAAGAUGAUUUCUUUGACUGGACCUUGCUUCUGACCCUUCUUGCCUCUGUGUGGUUUGUAUGGUUCUUGGCUAAUGAGAUAUAGGAUAUGUACUAAACAUUUACACAUUAAAGGCAUCCUUCAUUCAGCAUGAAGGUGUUGAUACAUCAAGGAUACCUCAAACAUGCUGAGAUUCCAGCAACUUGUCAGACAAAUUAGCACCUUACCAAUCGGGGGUAAAAUUGAGUUUCACAUUUCUCCCUGGUGGGAAGAAAAAAAUCAAAAAUCACUGUAGUUUAAUACUUUCUUUGUAAAGAUGAACACAAAAGGCCUUAUCACCUCUGUAGUGUAAAUUAUAGCCCUCACUGACUAUCUGAUUUUUAAUUCAUUGGUUUUAAAUGAUCCUAGGCAGUUUACAGCAAAUCUAUUGUGUCAUUCCUCUCUUAGACUUAAUAGAAGAAAAAUGUCUGCCCUAUCUCUUUUACAAAUAUUUAAACUUUACAUCUGCAUGCAUAUAUAUAUAUAUAUAUAUAUCUCUCUCAAAAUGGACGGAAAUCAAAGUCUUAAAUUUGUAUGUUCCAUUAACAUUAACCACCAGCAGCUUUUAACUCAAACUCUAAGGGGUAUGUGGAAUUGAAGGACUGUACAGCAAUGAAACUAUGAUGGUUUAAUUUUUUUCAGCUGACUGGUGCUGAAAAUUAAUGCAUAAAGAUUAGGGUUAAGAUUAGUGCAUGAAGAUGCAGAUUGCUGGCACCCCGCGUGAGACAUUCAGAGCACCAGAAAGACCCACUGCCUAGUAAUGCAGUCUAAUAAAGUAUCCCCAUAGAUUGAGAGUAAAGGUAAAGUCAGCUAUAGGUGCUACAGACACUACAGCAGGACCCAGUGACCAUCCGGUGCCCUUAAAUCACCAAGCAUUACACAGCAUGGACUGAGGAAACCGAGUUGACUACCUACUCAAGAUUUGUGAAGAGAAGGUUACUACCAUAAACCUCAAAGAUGGGAAUUAUUUAUGCAUCCAAUAGCUUUCUGCAAUUUAUGUAGCUGAAACAUUUACCUCACCGUGAACGCAUCACAAAAACACCCAUUUUCCAAAACUGUGAGGUCAGCAAAUGAAAUCAACCUGUAACUUGUGCAGGAGGAGGCCUGAGCUUUCUGCAGAGAUCGGGUGUGUACCCACAAGUCAUUCCUUCCUUUCCCCUUGCCAACUUCCUCAUUCUCACAAGUCUCAAAUUCAGAUUUUUUUUUUUUUAAAUAUAGGAAAGAAAUAAGCAGAGGAUCUUCCCAGUUGCAGCUGCUUGAGACUCUUUCAAUAAUUUAGUAAUUAUCAUCAUGCUAAUGGAUUUUGCCAUCAGCCUCUCUCCUUUUAUCAAUAAACCCUAGUAUCUAAACAGAACACACAUCCCUCCCUGUUCCACAGGCAGGGUGACUGUGACCCCACAUCCUCACUUCCCCUCAAAUGUCCUGUAUGCAAUCACCUUUGUUCAGACAUUUCAAGAACAUGCACUUCAGCAUAUUAAAUCUAUGACAGAAAAACAGAAACUGUGUUACCAGAAGCAGCUCCUUAAUUCUAGGGAUGCUAAUUCCUUUCUGCAGAUGUAUUUUUCAGAAUUCUCGAUACAACAAAGUGAGAAGGGAUGUUGUUCGUGCCCAGCAGCCACAACAGGGUAGACAAGGGACACAGCUGCUGAAGCAGACAAGGAAUUGAGCGAUGACUGCCUGGGCAUUACACUGUAAACCAGAUUCUUAUACCAAGAACUUCAUUUAGAAAUCUGGAGAAAACUUAAGAUUAAUUUUGUUCAUACUACAUAUUUGCAUGGAACUUUGGAGCAAGGCUCCUGCUCAGCAACAUACACUACGUAUAUUAAAACCCUUGCACACUUUUUCGCCUUAAGGUUAAAAAUAUCUGAAAGAGAAAGACAUCACAUUUUUAACUGCUUAAGAGAGAAAGAAAUAUUGGCUCCCAUAUAUAGAGUGACAUGAUUUAUAAAUAUGUGGUUAAAAAGAACUGAUUUACAGACAGGGUCGUGAAUCUGUAGCUAAGUGUUUUAGCAUUUAACUAAAACAAUAACAGCCAGCAUUAAUUGCAUGUGGUCUGUUGCACAGCUACCGGAAUCAAAUAGUAAAGAGGAUCACAGUUCCUUAUUAGUUAGGACCACCUAGGGUGAUGGAAAGCCUCAAUGAUCAAAGAGAAGACAUUUUUAUGCUGCAAAUGUUGAUAUACUCUUGAGCUUUCCACCACAGUUUAAGAUCCGGUAUGAACACUUGACAACACACUAACAUAACAUACUGAACAGGACAACACACGUGAUAUUAGACUACACAAGUUUUGCUUGCUGGAAAAAGAAGUGAAUAAGAUUCAGUAUUAUUUUCGUUUUCCCUACUGUAUCGCAGAAUAGUUCUCUAUUAUUACCAGGGUGAUUUAUUUUCACCUACUUGAAUCAAAACUAAACUAGCUUUUGUUCCUAACACCGUAUCAUGAGAUCCCAUCACUACUAUCCAGUGAUCACUGGAUAGAUGAUGUAAAACAACAGCCUUCAUUUAUCUGUAGAAAUGCAAAGCAAUCCAGUGUGAUUACUUACCGUUUGCAACUUGGCCAUCCAGGAGCAUGGAGUUGUUUCUGUCUUGGCUGAAUAGCUGAAAUGUUUGGAAGAGAAUAAUUUAAUGUAUGUGUGCUAUUCAAGUGACUAUAAUUACUAAGAGAUAUUUUCAUUUUUAAAUUUAUAACUGCACUUUCUUUGUUUAUUGUUGUUGUUCAGUCUCCUGCCUUCAAUAGAUCACGACUUCUGAUGCUGUAAUUCAUUGCAGACUACUCUGUGUUAUAGAGAAAAACCUUAUGGUUCAAGUGAAAGAGGUUGAAAAGAAAUCAGCGUUAAAAAACAUGAACAUGAAUUUUAAAUUCUAUUUUUACAAAAUAUCAUCUAUCAUUAAAAGCUAUCAUUAAAUCAUAGCAGGAACCUAAGAGAGCUUUCAUUUAAUGUAACAAAGAGACGUAAGGAGACAGACAGAUAGCACAGUGCUUCCAAUAAGAGCAAAUUUUACUGAACAAAGAGUAUAGCAGCUGACCUUGUGGCUGUAAUGGAGGUGUGGGAAGAAGGAAGAUUGCUUAACUGGCAGAAGAAACACUGAUUUCAUCCUUGUGUAAUUAUCCCACACACACUGAGAAUGGUUGCAUACCUUCUGCUCUGCUUUGAUGCAAUUAUUAGCGUGUGCUUAUGGUCCAUAUAUAUAUAUAUGCACUUCAGACACUGAGCUACGCUCCAUUCAAAGCAGUUUAGCAUUCAGCUCUGAAAGCUCUUCAGAACUCUUGACUUGAACACCUCUAAAGCCUUCAAAAUCAACUCUGCACCAACCCCAUGUUUAAGGUUCAGAUCUCAUUAGUUUUGGCUAGGAAUGCUCUCUAAUUACUAAGAGAGUUUUCUCAAGUUGCACUUUAGAAAUUCAUCUUUUUUUGUACACUGUAAAGUAUUCAUAAAAAGCUAAAAACUGUGGGAAAAUUAGCAUUGAUGGAUGUUUUCUUACCCUCCACCAGGAAAUGAUGUACUUGAAACUCAUUACAGAUCUUCAUAGAAACUCUGCUGAAUGUGCCUUGGGCUUUGUGCUGAUCAGCACACACUGAGCUUACUGCAUAAUUCAUCUCUCUUGUGUCACAUUUAAUGUAUAACAUGCAUUUCCUGUUAAUUAUGAAAAUAAAGAUGCGUUCUUUCUUUUAGAAACAUAAUCAUUAAAUUACUACAGAAAUUAAG